Molecule: non-coding RNA, 72 nt
Organism: Candidatus Parvarchaeum acidophilus ARMAN-5
Lineage: Archaea; Nanobdellati; Candidatus Parvarchaeota
Source: Rfam
GCCCGAGUAGCUCAACGGCAGAGCACUUGGCUGUUAACCAAGGCGUUGCAGGUUCGAAUCCUGCCCCGGGCG